This 587-nucleotide ribosomal RNA is filed under the name Carchesium polypinum. RNAcentral's name for it is "eukaryotic LSU rRNA". It matches the Rfam family "Eukaryotic large subunit ribosomal RNA", at positions 1 to 596 of the family's 3401-position model. Lineage: Eukaryota; Ciliophora; Oligohymenophorea; Sessilida; Vorticellidae. The record is from RNAcentral.
CUGAAAUAAGCAAGAUUACCCGCUGAACUUAAGCAUAUCAGUAAGCGGAGGAAAAGAAAAUAACAAUGAUUACCUCAGUAGCGGCGAGUGAAGAGGUACAAGCCCAAGAUGUUAAUCCGUAGUAAGGCUAUGGAAUUGUAAUCUAUAGAAUUUCUCAGAAGGUAUUGAUUCGUCAUAAGUUCUUUGGAACAAGACACCAUAGAGGGUGAAAGUCCCGUCUUUGGAUGAGUCAAGCCGUAUGAGGGGUUUCUAAGAGUCGGGUAGUUUGGGAAUGCUGCCCUAAGUGGGAGAUAAACUUCUCCUAAGGCUAAAUAUAAGAUAGGAGACCGAUAGCAUACAAGUACUGCGAAGGAAAGAUGAAGAGAACUUUGAAAAGAGGGUUAAAAGACUUGAAAUCGUUGAAAAGGAAGCAGUAAAAGAGAAAUUAUAGCCUGCAAAUUAAGCUAUUAGCGUAAGCUGGGCGGUGGAGGAGACUUAGCAGGAUCCUUGCCGAAUAGUGAAAGCGAAUGGUGUUUUGCAGGUGAAAGACAAAAUGACAUCCUUGCAUAAUAAUAAGGCUGAAAGUGCAUUCUGAAGUCCAAAAUUAU